UGAGAAAGAUUCCUUAAAAACAUACGAUUUUAAGCCCUUUCUUUCCAUGCAACCAGUGAAAAAUCAAUAACCCAGAAAAUUUUUAGAUUCGAACAUUCAUUUUAUCAGUUCUUUUUCUUCCCUUUCCUUCUCUUUCUCAUUAUCAAAACACACAAAGGAAACUUUAAAAUCAAUGGCAGAAGGUUAACCUGCAUCCUCGCUUGGCUAAA
RNAcentral lists this unclassified non-coding RNA (209 nucleotides) under Hevea brasiliensis (rubber tree). Lineage: Eukaryota; Viridiplantae; Streptophyta; Magnoliopsida; Malpighiales; Euphorbiaceae. The record is from RNAcentral.